UUAAUAGAAAAAUAUAAUCGUUGCAGUCAGCAGUCUAUGAAUGAUAUAACAAGGGGUUAUUCUAUUGUAUGGUAAUUACCUAAAUGUAGCUACUUACGCCAUCGCAUAAUCUGUUAAACACUACGUGUUCCGAAAUCGCUUGGUUCUACACGUCAUCCCAUAUCUGCUUAUACACUAAAAAAAGUUAUAUUUUUAUAAGCCCGGUCCCAAUAACCACCACUAUUUUUAUCUUUGCUGACUUACUCUUGGCCUACUGGACUUUGGCUCACUUAAUUAUUACUCACGUAUCCAUGGUUCCGUAAGUUAUAACCCCCUGGAUUAUAUUUUGCAUUAUAGGCGAACAGACGUGGGUACCGGUAUGCUUUAAAUUUCUUAUAUUUUUCUUUCUUUGCAUUCCAACAAAUUUGUUAGCAAUCGGCUCCAGCAUUUCAGAAUAUUUAAUCCGGUUUACUACGUGGUAUUAACCGGACUUUCGGCAAUACGCCUUUUAUAAUUUAAAUACCGUAAUCUAAAACUGCUCUUAUUAUAUUUUGUUCAAAUUAUAAACUAUUUAAAAAUUUAUAAUAUUACAACCAGCAUUAUCUUUACCUACCCAAUUACAUCCGCUUUAAAUAUUAUUAAUGGAAGAAGUAAAUAUAAGUAUAUUAUUAGUUUUCAACGACUUUUAGUUUAAAUUAUAAAUAGUAACUUUAGCCCUAACAGUGGGAAAUUCACCAGUUAAAUUUCAUAUAAUUAAAUAUUAACAUCCUAAUUAAUAUUUUAUUGCACAGCGAGUAAUAAAUUAUAUAAAUUUAUCGUUGACCCGCCGACAAACUGGAAUUUGCUUAUACCUAUUCCCGACAAGAGUACUUUUUAUACGUUUUAAAUAUGUUUGCAACUAUGCGGCUGGACGUAUAAUAAUAUUAAAGUUAUCCCCGUCGAAUUUACCCGCCAUUUAGCCCCUCCCGUAUUUAAAAUUUAACAGAUUAUCCAAUCGGCUUUUCUUAUAAUUAUCAACUGCUAUCCGGCCAAAACAAUUCCCCCUAAUAAUAUUUCUCGAAAUAAUAAAUAUAAUUAAUAAUUGCAAUUUUAUUAGGAGAAAUUCCAAGAUUAGUAAAGUUUAGGUUACAGUUAUUAUAUAAUAUUUCCACUGGGCUUUUGUUUAUUUAUUUAUUAUAAAUAUCCUUUAAUAUUAAAUUAGAUAUAAUUAACCUGUUAUUAAAUGUAAUCCAAAAUAUAAUUAAUUACAAUGGUAUUUAGCGAAGACCAUCCCUUGCUACCAUAUAUAUAUAUAUUACGGAU
Molecule: small RNA, 1281 nt
Filed under: Pyricularia oryzae
Lineage: Eukaryota; Fungi; Ascomycota; Sordariomycetes; Magnaporthales; Pyriculariaceae
Description: Magnaporthe oryzae sRNA M_BR32_EuGene_00106251
Source: RNAcentral